RNAcentral lists this ribosomal RNA (372 nucleotides) under uncultured bacterium. Its description in RNAcentral is "bacterial SSU rRNA". It matches the Rfam family "Bacterial small subunit ribosomal RNA", at positions 525 to 896 of the family's 1533-position model. The record is from RNAcentral.
ACAGAGGGUGCAAGCGUUAAUCGGAAUUACUGGGCGUAAAGCGCGCGUAGGCGGUCGAGUAAGUCGGAUGUGAAAUCCCCGGGCUUAACCUGGGAAUUGCAUUCGAUACUGCUUGGCUAGAGUGUGGAAGAGGGAAGCGGAAUUUCCGGUGUAGCGGUGAAAUGCGUAGAUAUCGGAAGGAACACCAGUGGCGAAGGCGGCUUCCUGGUCCAACACUGACGCUGAGGCGCGAAAGCGUGGGGAGCGAACAGGAUUAGAUACCCUGGUAGUCCACGCUGUAAACGAUGAGAACUAGAUGUUGGGGGGUAUAACCCCUCAGUGUCGCAGCUAACGCGUUAAGUUCUCCGCCUGGGGAGUACGGCCGCAAGGUUG